GGAAGUUCUAAACAAAAAACUAGAGAGGGCCUAGAGAUGGCAAGUUGAAACAGGAAAUUCUAAACGAAAAACUAAAGACGGCUAUUUUGAAAAUUAGAGACGGCCGAGGGACGACAAUAAAAUUUUAGGCGGAAAAAAAAGCAACAGAUUAGAGACAGUUUGGCCCUAAUCCUUUCUAAUUUUAAAUUUUAAUUAGCGACGGCUAAUACCGUCUCUAAUCCUUCCCUAAUAAUUAGAGACGGAUAUGAAGACCGUCUCUAAAAAAUCAACUAGGCGGGGAAGGAUUAAAGACGGCCAAAAACCGUCGCCAAUCAUCAAUUAGCGACAGUUUUUGAUGAUUAGAGACGGUUUCUAGUCGUCGUUGAAAGUCAAUAAUCUGGUAGUGGUGCUCACAGCUGGCGGGUACCUGUACAAUCGAAAUCCGACGCUUCUGUUAUCGAGAAGAUCUUCUGUAGAAGCCUUGCUUGAAAAAACACCUGAAUAUAUACACGAGGUUUAAGGUGUUUGGCAGCGUAUGCUACCCGCCUACCCGUGCUUGAGGAUGUACCGAAAGAAUAAGUUGGACUCCAAAUCUGGAUCCAAACCCAGACUAUUAACUGGCCGGGUUUGGACCAGGACCCAAACCUCCAGG
This 631-nucleotide long non-coding RNA is filed under the name Zostera marina. Its description in RNAcentral is "long non-coding RNA (ZMAR_LNC003185)". The record is from RNAcentral. Lineage: Eukaryota; Viridiplantae; Streptophyta; Magnoliopsida; Alismatales; Zosteraceae.